This 96-nucleotide transfer RNA is filed under the name Hyphomicrobiales bacterium. RNAcentral's name for it is "Rhizobiales bacterium (bioreactor metagenome) tRNA-Sec". It matches the Rfam family "Selenocysteine transfer RNA". The record is from RNAcentral. Lineage: Bacteria; Pseudomonadati; Pseudomonadota; Alphaproteobacteria; Hyphomicrobiales. RNAcentral also lists the same sequence under 4 other names.
GGAAGAGCAUCGUUCCCGGUGGGGCGUCCGGACUUCAAAUCCGGGAAGGGCCGCGAGUCGGUUCUUGGUGGGUUCGACUCCCAUUCUCUUCCACCA